Molecule: ribosomal RNA, 512 nt
Filed under: Vanrija musci
Lineage: Eukaryota; Fungi; Basidiomycota; Tremellomycetes; Trichosporonales; Trichosporonaceae
Description: eukaryotic LSU rRNA
Rfam family: Eukaryotic large subunit ribosomal RNA
Source: RNAcentral
GUAAUCUGGCUGUCUUCGAUAGUCCGAGUUGUAAUCUAUAGACGUGUUUUCCGUGCUGGACCGUAUCUAAGUCCCUUGGAACAGGGUAUCAAAGAGGGUGACAAUCCCGUGCUUGAUACGACCACCAGUGCUCUGUGAUACACGCUCUACGAGUCGAGUUGUUUGGGAAUGCAGCUCAAAAUGGGUGGUAAAUUCCAUCUAAAGCUAAAUAUUGGCGAGAGACCGAUAGCGAACAAGUACCGUGAGGGAAAGAUGAAAAGCACUUUGGAAAGAGAGUUAAACAGUACGUGAAAUUGUUGAAAGGGAAACGAUUGAAGUCAGUCGUGUUCUUUGGAUUCAGCUAGUUCUUCUAGUCUACUUCCAUUGAACGGGUCAACAUCAGUUUUGUCCGGUGGAUAAAGAUAGUAGGAAUGUAGCUCCCCCGGGAGUGUUAUAGACUAUUAUUGCAUACACUGGGUGAGACUGAGGACUGCAGCUCGCCUUUUGGCCGGUCUUCGGACACGUUCGAGCUU